UAUUUAGAGUUUGAAGUCCUCACUCUGGCUGUGGUUCUAGAAGCUACAUUGUAGGGGGGCAGGAGGGCGGGGCGGUAAAGAGUCAGCUGCCAUGAGAAGGUCAUAAUGGGGGUCCUGGGGAGACGUGAGGAGAACAGGAUCACACGAGGGACAGAACAUGGAGGAAAGGUGGGACAGACCACAGGUGGGCUCGGAAAGGGGAAGGAAGUGCUGAAAAGCACUCCUAGGGUUUUGGCCUGAGCCACUGGGUCAGUGUGGGGAAGUCAUUCCUGCGAUGAAGAACAAGGGACACAGAUAUCUUUAAUUCACACAAGAUUAUGAGCCAGCCUGAACUGGAAGAUCAUUUACUAUAAAUAUUGCUGUUGUUCAAAGACUCUUAAAAUCAUGGCAUGUUAGGGCUGCAAGAGACCUUAAGAAAUCAUCCAUCCCGACCCCGUCACUUUACAGAUUCCUCGGAGAUAAAAGGCAAGUUGCUAAAUUCAACACACAAGGCUUCUCUGUCUGCCUCCUACCUGAUCACUCCAGCCUGAGCUCUUCUGUACACAGCCCAUCUUCCCACUCUCCCACAGGGAGGGAGAAGGGAGAAGCAGCUCCCUAAACCUAAAGUUCUCCAGAAAUAUUAGAAGAACCACUGCACAGGGGAGUCUGGCUGGCUCAGUCGGAAGAGCAUGCAACUACUCUUGAUCUUGAGCCCAAUCAUGAGGGGGAAAAAAUUCUGACAAGUUCCAACAGAGGAGCAUCCUACAAAACAUCUAGCCAGCAGUCCUCAAAACUGGCGAGGUCAUCACAAACAAUGAACGUCUGAAAAGCUGUCAUAGCCAAGAAGAACCCAAGGAGACAAAACAACUAAAUGUGAUGUCAUAUCCUGAAUGGGACCCUGGAACAGAAAAAGGACAUCAGAUAAAAAUUAAGGAAAUCUGAAUUAAA
Molecule: long non-coding RNA, 927 nt
Organism: Acinonyx jubatus (cheetah)
Lineage: Eukaryota; Metazoa; Chordata; Mammalia; Carnivora; Felidae
Exons: 5
Source: RefSeq, a predicted model, not a curated record